UGAAGGAUCUGUCAGUACUAGUUAUUGAUCAGGGGACAAUAGUUGAUCGGAUAGACCACAAUGUUCAAAGUGUAUCUGCAUCAGUAGAGGAAGGUUUCAAACAACUACAGAAGGCAGAGAGGUCUCAGAGGAAGGGGGGAAUGGUAAAAUGUGCGACUAUUCUUGUUAUCAUGUGCUUCGUUAUGCUAGUCCUAUUGGUCCUUAAGCAGAUUCUUUUAUAAACUUUCCUUCUACUUUCCUUCCUUUUUCUUGGGUAUAACUAGGACUGUAGUUCUUUCGAUGCCAAAAUUGUAAUGUGCUAUACCUAUUGUGGAAUUUUAUGGAGGAAGCCCAUUAGCUCACUG
RNAcentral lists this unclassified non-coding RNA (344 nucleotides) under Hevea brasiliensis (rubber tree). The record is from RNAcentral. Lineage: Eukaryota; Viridiplantae; Streptophyta; Magnoliopsida; Malpighiales; Euphorbiaceae.